This 199-nucleotide long non-coding RNA is filed under the name Salvia miltiorrhiza (redroot sage). RNAcentral's name for it is "long non-coding RNA (SMIL_LNC004313)". Lineage: Eukaryota; Viridiplantae; Streptophyta; Magnoliopsida; Lamiales; Lamiaceae. The record is from RNAcentral.
GUUGAGUUUGUCUUCCACUUUGAUGUGGGCCUCAAACCUUUUGACAUUUGAGCCACAACUUUUUGACUAUUAGUUGUGCAGAUUAAUUGAAGUUCAACAAUUGCAGCUUCAACAAUUGCUGCUGCUCAUUUUUUCAACAAUCGGCAGCUCAAUUUUGCCUAUAAAUUGAGCUCAUUCUGCAGAAGGAAAGAUGUGCAGA